This 510-nucleotide ribosomal RNA is filed under the name uncultured bacterium. RNAcentral describes it as "partial 16S ribosomal RNA". It matches the Rfam family "Bacterial small subunit ribosomal RNA", at positions 28 to 507 of the family's 1533-position model. The record is from RNAcentral.
GACGAACGCUGGCGGCGUGCUUAACACAUGCAAGUCGAACGGAGAGCGAUGGAAGCUUGCUUCUAUCAAUCUUAGUGGCGAACGGGUGAGUAACGCGUAAUCAACCUGCCCUUCAGAGGGGGACAACAGUUGGAAACGACUGCUAAUACCGCAUACGAUCUAAUCUCGGCAUCGAGGAUAGAUGAAAGGUGGCCUCUACAUGUAAGCUAUCACUGAAGGAGGGGAUUGCGUCUGAUUAGCUAGGUGGAGGGGUAACGGCCCACCAAGGCGAUGAUCAGUAGCCGGUCUGAGAGGAUGAACGGCCACAUUGGGACUGAGACACGGCCCAGACUCCUACGGGAGGCAGCAGUGGGGAAUCUUCCGCAAUGGACGAAAGUCUGACGGAGCAACGCCGCGUGAGUGAUGACGGCCUUCGGGUUGUAAAGCUCUGUUAAUCGGGACGAAAGGCCUCCUUGCGAAUAGUGAGAAGGAUUGACGGUACCGGAAUAGAAAGCCACGGCUAACUACGUG